RNAcentral lists this ribosomal RNA (434 nucleotides) under uncultured Lachnospiraceae bacterium. RNAcentral's name for it is "bacterial SSU rRNA". It matches the Rfam family "Bacterial small subunit ribosomal RNA", at positions 341 to 792 of the family's 1533-position model. Lineage: Bacteria; Bacillati; Bacillota; Clostridia; Lachnospirales; Lachnospiraceae. The record is from RNAcentral.
ACGGGAGGCAGCAGUGGGGAAUAUUGCACAAUGGGGGAAACCCUGAUGCAGCAACGCCGCGUGAGUGAUGAAGUAUUUCGGUAUGUAAAACUCUAUCAGCAGGGAAGAAGAUGACGGUAUCUGACUAAGAAGCACCGGCUAAAUACGUGCCAGCAGCCGCGGUAAUACGUAUGGUGCAAGCGUUAUCCGGAUUUACUGGGUGUAAAGGGAGCGCAGGCGGCUCUGCAAGCCAGAGGUGAAAACCCGGGGCUCAACCCCGUGAUUGCCUUUGGAACUGUAGAGCUUGAGUACUGGAGGGGCAGGCGGAAUUCCUGGUGUAGCGGUGAAAUGCGUAGAUAUUAGGAGGAACACCAGUGGCGAAGGCGGAUUGCUGGACGACAACUGACGGUGAGGCGCGAAAGCGUGGGGAGCAAACAGGAUUAGAUACCCUGGUA